Molecule: ribosomal RNA, 253 nt
Filed under: uncultured bacterium
Lineage: Bacteria
Description: partial 16S ribosomal RNA
Rfam family: Bacterial small subunit ribosomal RNA
Source: RNAcentral
UACGUAGGGGGCAAGCGUUGUCCGGAAUCAUUGGGCGUAAAGAGCGCGUAGGCGGCUAGGUAAGUCCGACGUGAAAUCUGGAGGCUCAACCUCCAGCGGUCGUUGGAAACUACUUGGCUAGAGUCCGGAAGAGGAGAGUGGAAUUCCUGGUGUAGCGGUGAAAUGCGCAGAUAUCAGGAAGAACACCGAUGGCGAAAGCAGCUCUCUGGGACGGUACUGACGCUGAGGCGCGAAAGCGUGGGGAGCGAACAGG